RNAcentral lists this long non-coding RNA (599 nucleotides) under Helianthus annuus (common sunflower). Lineage: Eukaryota; Viridiplantae; Streptophyta; Magnoliopsida; Asterales; Asteraceae. The record is from RNAcentral.
AAACAUAUAGAGCUGUAAAGAGUAAGUAAAGCUGCCAACUAUGUGGUCCCAAACUGCCGUUAAAUAAAGGUCUCCGCCCUUAUCGUUUUUCAUUUUCAAAGACAUGGCUAUUUUUAAAGCCAUUAGUGACCACAACUCAUAAGCGCAUGCUGAAGGAAGUCUCGUGCUCGUCGUGUCAGUCCGCCGCCGCGGAUGAACUCUGUCACGCGAGCACUCUUUACUCCUGGACACGCUUCGCGCGCGCAAGUCCACCUGUUGCGUUCGGAUUUGGAACACCGGCAGCAGAAACCAACUGAACUACGUUGACAUUGCGAGCCAUGUGUGUAAUCUUGAAUGAUGGAGCACGAAUAUGAAUGAAUUGGUUAGCACUCAUGGGUACCUCAAAAUCAAAUUAUGGUUUAGAAAUAUCCAACAUUGUCUAAGGAUGCGACUGGGACUAGACACACCAAUAGAGUACUGUAUCUAGCAACGUCACCCGAUGGUCAGGUAAUAGUGAUGGGCACAUGGAUGAAACAUUAGGAUUUGGAAUGUUUUCCCAUCUGUGAAAUGUCUUGUAUGUAUUAUUUUCAUUAUAAAGGUGGAAAAUUUCCUAUUCAAUG